Molecule: ribosomal RNA, 683 nt
Filed under: Staphylococcus cohnii
Lineage: Bacteria; Bacillati; Bacillota; Bacilli; Caryophanales; Staphylococcaceae
Description: bacterial SSU rRNA
Rfam family: Bacterial small subunit ribosomal RNA
Source: RNAcentral
GGGUAACCUACCUAUAGGACUGGGAUAACUCCGGGAAACCGGGGCUAAGGCCGGAUAACAUUUAGAACCGCGAGGUUCUAAAGUGAAAGAUGGUUUUGCUAUCACUUAUAGAUGGACCCGCGCCGUAUUAGCUAGUUGGUAAGGUAACGGCUUACCAAGGCAACGAUACGUAGCCGACCUGAGAGGGUGAUCGGCCACACUGGAACUGAGACACGGUCCAGACUCCUACGGGAGGCAGCAGUAGGGAAUCUUCCGCAAUGGGCGAAAGCCUGACGGAGCAACGCCGCGUGAGUGAUGAAGGUCUUCGGAUCGUAAAACUCUGUUAUUAGGGAAGAACAAAUGUGUAAGUAACUAUGCACGUCUUGACGGUACCUAAUCAGAAAGCCACGGCUAACUACGUGCCAGCAGCCGCGGUAAUACGUAGGUGGCAAGCGUUAUCCGGAAUUAUUGGGCGUAAAGCGCGCGUAGGCGGUUUCUUAAGUCUGAUGUGAAAGCCCACGGCUCAACCGUGGAGGGUCAUUGGAAACUGGGAAACUUGAGUGCAGAAGAGGAAAGUGGAAUUCCAUGUGUAGCGGUGAAAUGCGCAGAGAUAUGGAGGAACACCAGUGGCGAAUGCGACUUUCUGGUCUGUAACUGACGCUGAUGUGCGAAAGCGUGGGGAUCAAACAGGAUUAGAUACCCUG